UAUUGUUGUUCGAGGAAGCAUUAAUAUAUUACAGUACUUUAACAGAAAGGCAUAUAUAGGGUAAAAGAAAAAAAGCAGAUAGCAUGUGAUUUUUCUCUCUCUCCAAAAAAAAAAAAAAAAGCCAACUGCUUCUAGCACAAAUAAUAAAGAAUUUAGUGGUUAGUUUCUGAGAUUUCAAAUUUGAAUUCUAAUUGAUUCACAUUUCUAACUAAAUUUAUUUUUUAAACAAUAAAGGAAGCGGUUGCAUGCUACCUUUCUCUCUAAAAAUAAAAAAUUAGAAUAACAUAUUUUAUAUUUAAUUAAAUUUUUAGAAUCAGAUAAAUCAUCUUAUAUUUAGAAAAAAUGUGUUAUCUUAUCAAAUCAUAGGCGGCAAGACUAUUUCAAGAAACAAAAAAUCAAAUAUUUUGCCUCCAAUCAUACAACAAAAAUCUCAGGGGAAUAAGUCAUUCGAGAAUAACUUAUUCUAACAUCCAUCCAAUCCGAUAAAAUCCUUAGGCUUCGUUUGGUUCGGGUAUAAACAAGAUUAGCUAUUAUAGGGAUAGGAGGAAUAAGAAAAAUUGCGUUUGAAUGAAAAUUGGAUUGUCUCCGGGAAUAAGAAAAAUAACGUUUGGAUAAAUAAUAUGAAAUAAGAAAAAUAAUAAGUAGUUAUAUAUAAAAAAUGGAGGUGUUGGUGGGAAUAGUUAUAUAAACUUAUUUCAGGUAUCCGAGAACUACUAUUCUCGGAUAAAAAAUUUGCGUUUGGGUAUAAAAGGGGAUAAGGGGUUAUCCCUCGCCUUAUCCCCGAUCCAAACACUACCUUAGUUUUUUUUUUUUUUUUUUUUUUUUUUUUUUUUUUUUUUAAAGAGAUAGGUAGCACGCUACCCGCUUCGUUUAUUUCAUUUCGAAAUAAACUUAGCUGAAAAUGUGAAUCAACUAGGAUUCAAAAUUGGGUCUCAGAUACCAACUACCAAGCCCUUUGCCAGUUGCUCUAGAAAUGAUCGAUAACACUUAGGGCGUGUUUGAUUCGCUUUUUUUUCACACUGGAAUCAGAAUCAGAAUGGAUAAAUUCGUUUGUGGGUGUUUGGUACGCGGGAGUUCCAUUCCGAUUCCGAUUCCCGAGUGGAAUGGGAAUCCCCCAAUCACCUCUUUUUUCAAUCCGGUCUAGGAGGCCGAAUUGAAAGUUGAAUUCGGGCGGAAUUGAUAUUUAUUCGGAUUAAAUUUAUUUUUUCAACUUUUUAAAUUAAAAUAUGAGUUAAAAUUUUAAAAUUAAAUAUAUAAUUUUAAAAUUUAAUUUAAACUUAAAUUAAAAAUUAAAAUUUAAUCAAGUAUUUCGAAUCUAACUUAUGAAUUUAAAUUUAAAUUAAAUUUAAAUUUAUAUAAAAUAUUAUUCAAAUUUUAUUUCAAACUUAAAUUAAAUUUAUAUAUUCAAAUUAAAAUUUAAAUUGUAAUUUUAAAUUUGAAUUUGAAUAAAUCAAAAUUUAGUUUCAUAUUUUAAAUUAUCUACUCAACUUCAAAGUUUAAUUUUUUUAAAAAAAAUUGAUUUAAAAUUUUGACAUUAUUUCAAAAUUUUGAUGUAAAUUUUUAAUAUUUAAUUUUUAAUUUGAAUUUAAAUUAAUAUAUUAUAAAGAUAAUGUUAGUAUAUUAAUUUGAUUACAUUUUUUAUAUCCACCUGAACCAAACACCGAUAAUGAAAAUAAUUUAUUCCGAUUCCGAUUCAGGUGAUGAACCAAACAGAAUUAGGUAAUGAGUCAUUCCGAUUCCGAUUCUAGCUUAUUUUGAUUCCGAUUCCGAUUUUGAUUCCGACUUCGAACCAAACGCCCUUAGUUUUUAAACAUCGACUUCCCAUAACACUAGAAGC
Molecule: long non-coding RNA, 1837 nt
Filed under: Ananas comosus (pineapple)
Lineage: Eukaryota; Viridiplantae; Streptophyta; Magnoliopsida; Poales; Bromeliaceae
Description: long non-coding RNA (ACOM_LNC019042)
Source: RNAcentral